This 589-nucleotide long non-coding RNA is filed under the name Homo sapiens (human). Its description in RNAcentral is "HSALNT0163365". The record is from RNAcentral. Lineage: Eukaryota; Metazoa; Chordata; Mammalia; Primates; Hominidae.
CCGGCCUCUGGUUUCUUAUCUUUUCCUUUCUUGGUGGUUGGGUGGAGGAGGCAAGGAGGGAUGGAGCGGUCCUCCAGGUCACAGAGGAACUCUUCCUUUAGGAUGCACUGACUCUAAAGAAAUCAUCAUCUAUGCAUGAUUUUAGGUAGGGUCGAAAGAAGCACUGAUCUUGGACUGGGAAGAUCUAGGUACUAGUUCAGCUACGUCACCUUAGUCUCAGAAUAAAAGCAUGAAAACUGCAAAAAAAGAUGUUUGACAGCUGCCACAGACUUAUAACUCAUGUAAGCUGUUUCUCAAAUAUCUGCCCAGUGGUGCUGGUGAGAGCCCGAUGAAAAUGCACAAAGAGUGACACAACCUGGCCACCACUAAGAAGUAAAGAGCUCAGUGAUUUCUCAUCUAUUCUUUCACAGCUACACACCAAUGAAAACAAACACCCGAAACCGUCUUCUGUGGCAUUUGUCAGUUGAAAAAGAACACCUUAGACUUAACUUUUAAAAUGUCUGUAAUAAAAAUAUAAUUCCAUUUUCUUUUCUCGUUUGGUUCUGUUAUGCUCAGUGUUACUUGUGACAGAUAAAACAUUAUUUACAAC